UACGUAGGGUGCGAGCGUUAAUCGGAAUUACUGGGCGUAAAGCGUGCGCAGGCGGUUAUUUAAGACAGAUGUGAAAUCCCCGGGCUCAACCUGGGAACUGCAUUUGAUACUGGCAGACUCGAGUCUGGUAGAGGGUAGUGGAAUUCCGCAUGUAGCGGUGAAAUGCGUAGAUAUGCGGAGGAACAUCAGUGGCGAAGGCGGCUACCUGGACCAAGACUGACACUGAGGCACGAAAGCGUGGGGAUCAAACAGG
RNAcentral lists this ribosomal RNA (253 nucleotides) under uncultured bacterium. Its description in RNAcentral is "partial 16S ribosomal RNA". It matches the Rfam family "Bacterial small subunit ribosomal RNA", at positions 524 to 776 of the family's 1533-position model. The record is from RNAcentral.